GGGGGUGUAGCUCAGUUGGGAGAGCGCCUGCCUUGCAAGCAGGAGGUCAGCGGUUCGAUCCCGCUCAUCUCCACCA
This 76-nucleotide transfer RNA is filed under the name Actinomycetes bacterium. RNAcentral describes it as "tRNA-Ala". It matches the Rfam family "tRNA". From Rfam's summary of the family: Transfer RNA (tRNA) molecules are approximately 80 nucleotides in length. Their secondary structure includes four short double-helical elements and three loops (D, anti-codon, and T loops). The record is from RNAcentral. RNAcentral also lists the same sequence under 4 other names. Lineage: Bacteria; Bacillati; Actinomycetota; Actinomycetes.